UACGUAGGGUGCAAGCGUUGUCCGGAAUUACUGGGCGUAAAGAGUUCGUAGGCGGUUUGUCGCGUCGUUUGUGAAAACCAGCAGCUCAACUGCUGGCUUGCAGGCGAUACGGGCAGACUUGAGUACUGCAGGGGAGACUGGAAUUCCUGGUGUAGCGGUGAAAUGCGCAGAUAUCAGGAGGAACACCGGUGGCGAAGGCGGGUCUCUGGGCAGUAACUGACACUGAGAGACGAAAGCUAGGGGAGCGAAUGGG
This 253-nucleotide ribosomal RNA is filed under the name uncultured bacterium. RNAcentral's name for it is "partial 16S ribosomal RNA". It matches the Rfam family "Bacterial small subunit ribosomal RNA", at positions 524 to 776 of the family's 1533-position model. The record is from RNAcentral.